This 33-nucleotide ribosomal RNA is filed under the name Pratylenchus gutierrezi. RNAcentral describes it as "partial 28S ribosomal RNA". The record is from RNAcentral. Lineage: Eukaryota; Metazoa; Nematoda; Chromadorea; Rhabditida; Pratylenchidae.
UCAGACGUGAGCACCCGCUGAACUUAAGCAUAU